GGGAUACCCGAGGGAAACUUCGGUUAAUACGGUAUAAGACCACACUACCGCAUGGUAGAGGGGUAAAAGGGGCAACCUGGUAUGAGAUGGACUCGCGUCGCAUUAGCUAGUUGGUGAGGUAACGGCCCACCAAGGCGACGAUGCGUAGCCGACCUGAGAGGGUGAUCGGCCACAUUGGGACUGAGAUACGGCCCAGACUCCUACGGGAGGCAGCAGUGGGGAAUAUUGGGCAAUGGAGGAAACUCUGACCCAGCAGUGCCGCGUGAAUGAAGAAGGUCUUCGGAUUGUAAAGUUCUUUAGUCAGGGAAGAAGUCAAUGACGGUACCUGAAGAAUAAGCUCCGGCUAACUACGUGCCAGCAGCCGCGGUAAUACGUAGGGAGCAAGCGUUGUUCGGAAUGACUGGGCGUAAAGGGUGCGUAGGCGGUUGUACAAGUUAGAAGUGAAAUACCCAGGGCUUAACUCGGGUGCUGCUUCUAAAACUGUAUGACUUGAGUGCAGUAGAGGUUAGUGGAAUUCCUAGUGUAGCGGUGGAAUGCGUAGAUAUUAGGAGGAACACCAGAGGCGAAGGCGGCUAACUGGACUGCAACUGACGCUGAGGCACGAAAGUGUGGGGAGCAAACAGGAUUAGAUACCCUGGUAGUCCACACUGUAAACGAUGGAUACUAGAUGUAGGAGGUAUCGACUCCUUCUGCGUCGCAG
RNAcentral lists this ribosomal RNA (700 nucleotides) under uncultured bacterium. RNAcentral's name for it is "bacterial SSU rRNA". It matches the Rfam family "Bacterial small subunit ribosomal RNA", at positions 140 to 851 of the family's 1533-position model. The record is from RNAcentral.